CCUACGGGUGGCAGCAGUGGGGAAUAUUGGUCAAUGGACGCAAGUCUGACCCAGCAAUGCCGCGUGCAGGAUGAAGGCUCUCUGGGUAUUAACUUCCUUUUGUGCGGGAGUGAACCCCACUGCACGCCUUGCGUUAACCAUGGCUAACUACUUAGCAUCAGCUGCGGCCAUACGUAGGUCGCCAGCGUUGUCCGGAUUUACUGGGUGUAAAGGGCGUGUAGGCGGUGAGAGAAGUCAGAGGUGAAAUCCACGGGCUCAACCCGGAAACUGCAUUUGAAACUGUUGCCCUAGAGAAUCGGAGCGGUAAUCGGAAUUCCUAGUGUAGCGGUGAAAUGCGUAGAGAUUAGACAGAACACCGAUGGCGAAGGCAGAUUACUAAACGAUAACUGACGGUGAGGCGCGAAAGCGUGGGGAGCAAACAGGAUUAGAUACCCUAGUAGUC
RNAcentral lists this ribosomal RNA (442 nucleotides) under uncultured bacterium. RNAcentral describes it as "partial 16S ribosomal RNA". It matches the Rfam family "Bacterial small subunit ribosomal RNA", at positions 338 to 795 of the family's 1533-position model. The record is from RNAcentral.